This 652-nucleotide ribosomal RNA is filed under the name uncultured Bacilli bacterium. Its description in RNAcentral is "bacterial SSU rRNA". It matches the Rfam family "Bacterial small subunit ribosomal RNA", at positions 74 to 709 of the family's 1533-position model. Lineage: Bacteria; Bacillati; Bacillota; Bacilli. The record is from RNAcentral.
GAGAGCUUGCUCUCGUAAAUUAGCGGCGGACGGGUGAGUAACGCGUGGGCAACCUGCCUAUAAGACUGGGAUAACUUCGGGAAACCGGAGCUAAUACCGGAUAAUUCAUAUCUAUUCAUGUAGAUAUGCCAAAGGACGGUUUACGCUGUCACUUAUAGAUGGGCCCGCGGCGCAUUAGCUAGUUGGUGAGGUAACGGCUCACCAGGGCAACGAUGCGUAGCCGACCCGAGAGGGUGAUCGGCCACACUGGGACUGAGACACGGYCCAGGCUCCUACGGGAGGCAGCAGUAGGGAAUCUUCCGCAAUGGGCGAAAGUCUGACGGAGCAACGCCGCGUGAGUGAUGAAGGUUUUCGGAUCGUAAAACUCUGUUGUUAGGGAAGAACAAGUACGAGAGUAACUGCUCGUACCUUGACGGUACCUAACCAGAAAGCCACGGCUAACCACGUGCCAGCAGCCGCGGUAAUACGUAGGUGGCAAGCGUUGUCCGGAAUUAUUGGGCGUAAAGCGCGCGCAGGCGGUCCUUUAAGUCUUGAUGUGAAAGCCCACGGCUCAACCGUGGAGGGCAUUGGAAACUGGGGGACUUUAGUACAAGAAGAGAAGAAGUGGAAUUCCACGUUGUAGCGGUGAAAUGCGUAAGAUGUGGAGGAACAC